MicroRNA precursor from Caenorhabditis elegans, 118 nucleotides. Lineage: Eukaryota; Metazoa; Nematoda; Chromadorea; Rhabditida; Rhabditidae. The record is from Ensembl.
UACAUUUAUUCUUACUGUCCUCGAAUACAAACUGGCGGUUUGCAUUCACUUACAUUUAUAAGACAAAAAUGCAAGUGAUACCAGACCGCUAGUUUGUAAAAGGGAUAAUUUUAUGUGA